Molecule: ribosomal RNA, 465 nt
Filed under: uncultured bacterium
Lineage: Bacteria
Description: partial 16S ribosomal RNA
Rfam family: Bacterial small subunit ribosomal RNA
Source: RNAcentral
CCUACGGGAGGCAGCAGUGGGGAAUAUUGCGCAAUGGGCGAAAGCCUGACGCAGCGACGCCGCGUGAGGGAUGAAGGUCUUCGGAUUGUAAACCUCUGUCAGCAGGGAAGAACGGUCCCUGUGCUAAUCAGCAGUGAAUUGACGGUACCUGCAAAGGAAGCACCGGCUAACUCCGUGCCAGCAGCCGCGGUAAUACGGAGGGGGCGAGCGUUAACCGGAAUUACUGGGCGUAAAGCGCUCGUAGGCGGUGAGGCAAGUCAAGGGUGAAAUCCCCGCGCUCAACGUGGGAACUGCCUUUGAAACUGUCAAGCUGGAGUGUGUGAGAGGAUAGUGGAAUUCCAGGUGUAGGGGUGAAAUGCGUAGAUAUCUGGAGGAACAUCAGUGGCGAAGGCGACUAGCUGGAACGUAACUGACGCUGAGGAGCGAAAGCGUGGGUAGCAAACAGGAUUAGAUACCCCAGUAGUC